GCAUGGCUGAAUUCUGUAUUACUCUCUCAAUAGUGAAUGCAGUCAGACACCAUGCUAAAUUAUAAUUUUCACUCAUGGACUCAACAAAUGGAUAUGAGUGCUGCUCUGUGCCUCAUUCUUUUGUCCGGGUGAAUACAGAG
This is a small nucleolar RNA of Myripristis murdjan (pinecone soldierfish), 140 nucleotides long. Ensembl annotates it as small nucleolar RNA SNORA15. NCBI's taxonomy places the organism in Eukaryota, Metazoa, Chordata, Actinopteri, Holocentriformes, Holocentridae. The record is from Ensembl.